UCGGUUCGGUUCGGUUUUAGAUUCAAAAAUUUCGAUUAGACCGAACCGAACCGAAAUCACUAAACUACGUCGUUUUGAAAUGUACCCUUAUAUUUGCCCUAAAUCUAAAAGCCUGAGUCACGCUACCAAUCUCCAUUCCACGCCGCCUCACAUCACAGAUCAAACAUGCCUGUGCCUUUCUCUGAGCAUUGAGCUCCACCACUUCCAGCAGUUCCACAGUCCACCGUCCGACCUCCACUCUCCUCCCGACAUCGACCGAUUAACUGUCGCUGC
Molecule: long non-coding RNA, 273 nt
Filed under: Manihot esculenta (cassava)
Lineage: Eukaryota; Viridiplantae; Streptophyta; Magnoliopsida; Malpighiales; Euphorbiaceae
Description: long non-coding RNA (MESC_LNC004396)
Source: RNAcentral